Molecule: long non-coding RNA, 478 nt
Filed under: Nicotiana benthamiana
Lineage: Eukaryota; Viridiplantae; Streptophyta; Magnoliopsida; Solanales; Solanaceae
Description: long non-coding RNA (NBEN_LNC023510)
Source: RNAcentral
UUAUCGACUUCCUUUUGAAUAACUUGGAUAACAUCUUUAUGGACAUCUGAGAGAGGUUCUUUCUACUAGUGCUCCUCCUCCUGCUAAUGCUAGUGCAACUUUGAAAGUUGUUAAAGCAAAGAUUCGAUACCUCUUUUAUUAUUAAUUAAUAAUUGGCAUUCUCUGAUCGGCCUAAUCUCGUAAUACAUGGCUAUGUCCCUGACCUGAGACUAAUGCAAUCAGUUCCUUCCUCCGCCUUCUCUUUCGACGUUCGCCAAUCGGAGAGGACAGCCGAUUGAGUCUGAACCUUAAUUUAAAGAUGGAAGGAAGACCCGGAUGGAGUACUAGUUCUCCUCUUCCUGCUAAUGCUAGUGAAAUUUAGAAAGUUGUUAAAGUAAAGAUUCGAUACCUCUUUUAUUAUUAAUUAAUAUUUGGCAUUCUAUGAUCGGACUAAUCUCGUAAUACAUGGCUAUGUCCCUGACCUGAGACUAAUGCAAUC